RNAcentral lists this ribosomal RNA (409 nucleotides) under uncultured bacterium. RNAcentral describes it as "bacterial SSU rRNA". It matches the Rfam family "Bacterial small subunit ribosomal RNA", at positions 954 to 1367 of the family's 1533-position model. The record is from RNAcentral.
GCAUAACGCGAAGAACCUUACCAGGUCUUGACAUCGGGAUGAAAGCCUUAGAGAUAAGGUCCUCCUUCGGGACAUCCCAGACAGGUGGUGCAUGGUUGUCGUCAGCUCGCGUCGUGAGAUGUUGGGUUAAGUCCCGCAACGAGCGCAACCCUUAUCAUUAGUUGCUACGCAAGAGCACUCUAGUGAGACUGCCGUUGACAAAACGGAGGAAGGUGGGGGAUGACGUCAAAUCAUCAUGCUCCUUAUGACCUGGGCUACACACGUACUACAAUGGCAAUUAACAGAGGGAAGCAAUACAGCGAUGUGGAGCAAAAUCCCCAAAAAUUGUCCCAGUUCGGAUUGUAGGCUGCAACUCGCCUACAUGAAGUCGGAAUUGCUAGUAAUCGCAGAUCAGCAUGCUGCGGUGAAU